GGGAAUGUAGCUCAAAUGGUAGAGCGCUCGCUUUGCAUGUGAGAGGCACGGGGUUGGGGUUCGAUCCCCCGCAUCUCCA
This 79-nucleotide transfer RNA is filed under the name Capsicum annuum. It matches the Rfam family "tRNA". From Rfam's summary of the family: Transfer RNA (tRNA) molecules are approximately 80 nucleotides in length. Their secondary structure includes four short double-helical elements and three loops (D, anti-codon, and T loops). Lineage: Eukaryota; Viridiplantae; Streptophyta; Magnoliopsida; Solanales; Solanaceae. RNAcentral also lists the same sequence under 1 other name. The record is from Rfam by way of RNAcentral.